RNAcentral lists this ribosomal RNA (465 nucleotides) under uncultured bacterium. RNAcentral describes it as "partial 16S ribosomal RNA". It matches the Rfam family "Bacterial small subunit ribosomal RNA", at positions 28 to 507 of the family's 1533-position model. The record is from RNAcentral.
GACGAACGCUGGCGGCGUGCUUAACACAUGCAAGUCGAACGGAAAGGCCCUGCUUGCGGGGUACUCGAGUGGCGAACGGGUGAGUAACACGUGGGUGAUCUGCCCUGCACUUCGAGAUAGGCCUGGGAAACAGGGUCGAGUACCUGCCAGGAGACAUAUUUAAUGUGAUGGUUGGAAAGUUUUUUCGGUGUAGGGUGAGCUCGCGGCCUAGCAGCUUGCUGGUGGGGUAAUGGCUUACCAAGACGGCGUCGGGUAGCCGGCCUGUGAGGGUGGACGGCCACAUUGGGACUGAGAGACGGCCCAGACUCCGACGGGAGGCAGCAGGGGGGAAGAUUGCACAAUGGGCGCAAGCCUGAUGCAGCGAGUCCGCGUGGGGGAUGACGGUGUUAGGGUUGUAAACCCCUUGCGUUAGGGACGAAGCUUUUUGUGACGGUACCUAGACAAGAAGCACCGGCUAACUACGUG